This 485-nucleotide ribosomal RNA is filed under the name uncultured bacterium. Its description in RNAcentral is "bacterial SSU rRNA". It matches the Rfam family "Bacterial small subunit ribosomal RNA", at positions 917 to 1382 of the family's 1533-position model. The record is from RNAcentral.
GGACCCGCACAAGCGGUGGAACAUGUGGUUCAAUUCGAUGCUACGCGAAAAACCUCACCAGGGUUUGACAUACAGGAAGUAGUGAACUGAAAGGGGAACGACUCGUUAAAUCGAGAGCCUGUACAGGUGCUGCAUGGCUGUCGUCAGCUCGUGUCGUGAGAUGUUGGGUUAAGUCCCGCAACGAGCGCAACCAUCAUCCUAUGUUGCUAAGGUAUUUGGCCGCAAGGUCGGAUGCCAGCACUCUUAGGAGACUGCCUGGGAUAACCAGGAGGAAGGUGGAGAUGACGUCAAGUCAGUACGGCCUUUAUGCCCUGGGCUACACACGUGUUACAAUGGAUGUUACAAAGAGUUGCCAACCCGCGAGGGGGAGCCAAUCUCUAAAAAGCAUCCCCAGUUCAGAUUGGAGUCUGCAAUUCGACUCCAUGAAGCCGGAAUCGCUAGUAAUGGAAGAUCAGCACGCUUCCGUGAAUACGUUCCCGGGUCUU